GGGGAAGUUACAGCCCAGCAAGCUUCCAAAAAGUGGGAGAACCUGAAAAAGAAAUACAAGGACCUGAAACUUGUAAAGUCUGGCUCCGGCACAGAGGAGGGGGAAACCACUGCUGCCAAUUGGCCCUAUUUUGAAGAGAUGCACAGGGUGCUGGGAUCCAGACCUUCGGUGGACCCCCCUGUAGUUGUUGCAUCUUAUUCACAGGAUCCAACAGCCUUAUUGAUGGAAAUGGUGGAGCCUAGCACAUCUGGGGCAUCCUCUUCAGCUUCACUUGUAUCUUCCACUCCUGCCAGUGCUGCCACUCCAUCCUCCACCAUCACACAGCCGACGCCUCCCCCAGAAUCACCCUCCCCACGAAUAAAGAAAAGGAAGUCUCACCAUCUGCUGGAAUUUCUGAAAGGGGAAUCAGCCAAGGAGCAGAGAAGACAUGAGGAGAGUGAGAGGAAGACAGACAGGCUCCUUGAACUUUUUGAAAAAAUGGUGGACAAAAUUUAGCCAAGUUGGAUGUUAAUUUUUAGGCCUUAUCUUUUUUUUUUUUUGUAAGUUUCUAUAA
Salarias fasciatus (jewelled blenny) is the source of this 553-nucleotide long non-coding RNA. RefSeq lists it as uncharacterized. The record is from RefSeq and is a predicted model, not a curated record. Lineage: Eukaryota; Metazoa; Chordata; Actinopteri; Blenniiformes; Blenniidae. The transcript is spliced from 3 exons.